UACCGCGAGGAGGAGCGAAUCACAAAACUACGGUCCCAGUUCAGAUUGCAGGCUGCAACUCGUCUGCAUGAAGUUGGAAUUGCUAGUAAUGGCAGGUCAGCAUACUGCCGUGAAUACGUUCCCGGGCCUUGUACACACCGCCCGUCACACCAUGAGAGUUGGGAAUACCCGAAGCCUGUGAGCUAACUUUUAGAGGCAGCAGUCGAAGGUAGAAUCAAUGAUUGGGGUGAAGUCGUAACAAGGUAGC
Molecule: ribosomal RNA, 247 nt
Filed under: uncultured bacterium
Lineage: Bacteria
Description: partial 16S ribosomal RNA
Rfam family: Bacterial small subunit ribosomal RNA
Source: RNAcentral